RNAcentral lists this ribosomal RNA (376 nucleotides) under uncultured bacterium. Its description in RNAcentral is "bacterial SSU rRNA". It matches the Rfam family "Bacterial small subunit ribosomal RNA", at positions 521 to 896 of the family's 1533-position model. The record is from RNAcentral.
UAAGACGAACCGUCCAAACGUUGUUCGGAAUCACUGGGCUUAAAGGGCGCGUAGGCGGGCAAGCAAGUCCGGGGUGAAAGCGUUCGGCUCAACCGGACCAGGGCCUUGGAAACUGCUUGUCUGGAGGGAGGUAGGGGUCCGCGGAACUUCGGGUGGAGCGGUGAAAUGCGUUGAUAUCCGAAGGAACGCCGGUGGCGAAAGCGGCGGACUGGACCUUUUCUGACGCUGAGGCGCGAAAGCCAGGGGAGCAAACGGGAUUAGAUACCCCGGUAGUCCUGGCCCUAAACGAUGAGGACUAGAUUGCGGGCUUAACAUGGGUUCGCAAUCGAAGCAAAAGUGUUAAGUCCUCCGCCUGGGGAGUAUGGUCGCAAGGCUG